GACGAACGCUGGCGGCGUGCCUAACACAUGCAAGUCGAGCGGUCCGACAUUUAACAUUGAGUAUUCAGUACGAGUUGGCAGAUGAGCCAGCGUCAGGCAGAAAGAUACUUGAGAUCAGAUCAGGUUUUUUGCUUCACGCCAUAUCAAGUGCCGACGCAAAGGCGGACUGAGUAUUGAAUGUUGAAUGUCGGAUAGCGGCGGACGGGUGAGUAACGCGUGGGCAACCUGCCUUUCACAGGGGGAUAACACAGGGAAACUUGUGCUAAUACCGCAUAACAUCAUGUGGGGCAUCUCAUGUGAUCAAAGGAGCAAUCCGGUGAAAGAUGGGCCCGCGUCCAAUUAGCUAGUUGGUGAGGUAAUGGCUCACCAAGGCGACGAUUGGUAGCCGAACUGAGAGGUUGAUCGGCCACAUUGGGACUGAGACACGGCCCAGACUCCUACGGGAGGCAGCAGUGGGGAAUAUUGCGCAAUGGGGGGAACCCUGACGCAGCGACGCCGCGUGAAGGAAGAAGGUCUUCGGAUUGUAAACUUCCUUGAUGAGGGACGAAGUAAGUGGCGGUACCUCAAAAACAAGCCACGGCUAACUACGUGCCAACAGCCGCGGUAAUACGUAGGUGGCGAG
Molecule: ribosomal RNA, 622 nt
Filed under: uncultured bacterium
Lineage: Bacteria
Description: bacterial SSU rRNA
Rfam family: Bacterial small subunit ribosomal RNA
Source: RNAcentral